ACUUCGGUUCUAGCGGCGGACGGGUGAGUAACGCGUGGGAAUGUGCCCUUCUCUACGGAAUAGCCCUGGGAAACUGGGAGUAAUACCGUAUACGCCCUAUUGGGGAAAGAUUUAUCGGAGAAGGAUCAGCCCGCGUUGGAUUAGGUAGUUGGUGGGGUAAUGGCCUACCAAGCCGACGAUCCAUAGCUGGUUUGAGAGGAUGAUCAGCCACACUGGGACUGAGACACGGCCCAGACUCCUACGGGAGGCAGCAGUGGGGAAUCUUAGACAAUGGGGGCAACCCUGAUCUAGCCAUGCCGCGUGAGUGAUGAAGGCCUUAGGGUUGUAAAGCUCUUUCAGCUGGGAAGAUAAUGACGGUACCAGCAGAAGAAGCCCCGGCUAACUCCGUGCCAGCAGCCGCGGUAAUACGGAGGGGGCUAGCGUUGUUCGGAAUUACUGGGCGUAAAGCGCACGUAGGCGGACCGGAAAGUCAGAGGUGAAAUCCCAGGGCUCAACCUUGGAACUGCCUUUGAAACUAUCGGUCUGGAGUUCGAGAGAGGUGAGUGGAAUUCCGAGUGUAGAGGUGAAAUUCGUAGAUAUUCGGAGGAACACCAGUGGCGAAGGCGGCUCACUGGCUCGAUACUGACGCUGAGGUGCGAAAGCGUG
RNAcentral lists this ribosomal RNA (645 nucleotides) under uncultured Alphaproteobacteria bacterium. RNAcentral describes it as "bacterial SSU rRNA". It matches the Rfam family "Bacterial small subunit ribosomal RNA", at positions 83 to 763 of the family's 1533-position model. The record is from RNAcentral. Lineage: Bacteria; Pseudomonadati; Pseudomonadota; Alphaproteobacteria.